ACACGUAUGAAAGACAAGCUAAAAGACUUUUCUCAAUGAUGUAAGUGGUGGUGCAUGGUCGUUCUUAGUUCGUGGAUUGAUUUGUCUGGUCUAUUCCGAUAACGAGCGAGACCCCGACGUUCCUAAUAGGGGUGGCAGCCCGGCUUGCUUAUCUCCCAAAGGUAAGCUUGUUAGCAGCCAUCUAGGAUUUACUUCUUAGACGUAUCAGAGCCGAUAAGGUUCUUGAAAUGGGUUAAUAACAGGUCAGUCAUGCCCUUAGAUGUUCUGGGCCGCACGCGCGUUACAAUGGUAUGUAUAGAAAGCUCCAAAGGAUAUCCCGGAGCCUAACGGUUUCGGUAACCCUUAGUCCCUACCCUGUCUGGGACAGACUCUUGCAAUUAUUGGUCUCAAACGAGGAAUUUUUAGUAGUCGCGGGUCACUAACCCGCGACGA
RNAcentral lists this ribosomal RNA (432 nucleotides) under Diderma aurantiacum. RNAcentral describes it as "SSU rRNA". It matches the Rfam family "Eukaryotic small subunit ribosomal RNA", at positions 1230 to 1644 of the family's 1831-position model. Lineage: Eukaryota; Evosea; Eumycetozoa; Physariida; Didymiaceae. The record is from RNAcentral.